CCUCGUUUCUCAGUGCCAUGUCACUCUCAGUUAUCCCAGAUCUACUACUAGAACUUAAUGGUUUGUCUAUAUGUUUCGCUGCGCACUGCUAUGUUUAAAUCAUGUAUCAAAUUGCACUUUUAUGCUUCUGGGUUUAUCUCAACAUUCUGCAUUUACUAUCACGCUUCUACAGUUUUACUUACCUAAGUAUCUAUAUUACUGAUAGACCUUAACUUGGGAUUUAUUUCCAUGCCACUCAAAAUUUCUCUAGGCCCAGCUUGCAGGCACUGUCAACCUGAUGGAUGGUGAUGAUUUAAUAGUCAAGGGGCUUCCACAGGUAAAGACUAAAUGCAUGGAUCACAUGUGAGCCAAUUUCUAAAAUCGUUUUGUAGUAUCCUUUCUGCUUGGUAAAUGUUAGUCAGCAGAUGCCUUGCUAGCCUUGCAUAAAAAUGUCAUCUUGUGAUUAUUUUGUGUUAGUCCUUCUGGCUUGCUGAAUGUAAAUCUCGGUGAUGUGUUGUCGCUAUAUAUAUUCUCCUUCAAAAUUGCAAAUACCCUGUUUGUCAUCACCACUCUCUUUGCAACAUAUAUAGUUCACUUUACCAAAAGUUUGUAUCCUGCUCAAGAUUUAAAAAAUAGAUAUGCUCAAUUUCUUCAACACAUGCUAUGAUUUUUCGUUCUUUAUUUUCCAGAAUUAAUCACCCUUAUCAAUGCAUUACUGUAUGUUGAGCAUGAUGCGAUCCAAAAAACAAAUAGAUAUUUUCUUUCAGGAUAUAGAGCACACUGGCCUAGCCUGGACAUAAAGCAUCAAAAUAUAGCAUAAUAACUCAGUGUUAGCUCGCUUGUAUAUUGUUGGAUAAAUAUGAUCAAUGAGCUCAGGAGUGCUAUAUUUAUCUGGUGUUGCGUACUAAAGUGUCACAUGUAGACAUGCCUUUGAAUGUUCACAUCUAAUUGCUUUCUCAUCCCCAACAUCCAGGAUGCGUAGAUAGAGAUGACAUUGCUCAAAGGAAAGAUACCGUACAUGGCCGUGUUGAAGGAGUUGUGGCCUCUUGUCUCUGCCUCAAAUGUCGAUGAUGCCUCUAUGUACUAUCACUCCUAUGCCCUUUUUAUUUUGUUUGUUCAGUGAAUGUUGGAAUAAACGAUUUAUUCAGCUGGAUCUAUACAACUAUGAACUAUUUGUGCAAUCUUUUAUUUAAGCUUUGAAAUGAGGGAAUUAAAUGUUGGGUUUGGGCAAUGUCCUUCCAUGUUUUUUGUUGGUGUUCGAUUAUUGGUAUGAAUCUCCUUGCCGCACUACAGGCUAUCAUGACAUGAAGCCUUAAUCUACUACCAUUUAUGUAUUGUGAACGGGUGCAUAGGCCCUUGCUCUCGAGUGAUCGGUUUUUGCAAUGUCUAUUGCUUGCAUAUCAUGACAGCUCUUCCCUGAAUGAAUACCAUCUCAACAUGACCUUUUUCGUAAUUUACAUUUUUUCUAUACUUGAAAUGCUUCAAUGUUGUAUAAUCGGAUUGGAUACAACUA
This 1492-nucleotide long non-coding RNA is filed under the name Triticum aestivum (bread wheat). Its description in RNAcentral is "long non-coding RNA (TAES_LNC024114)". Lineage: Eukaryota; Viridiplantae; Streptophyta; Magnoliopsida; Poales; Poaceae. The record is from RNAcentral.